GACGAAGGAUGCAAGCGUUAUCCGGAUUCAUUGGGUUUAAAGGGAGCGUAGGUGGCCUUAUAAGUCAGUGGUGAAAUCUCUGGGCUUAACCCAGAAAUUGCCAUUGAUACUGUAGGGCUUGAGUACAGUUGCUAUGGACAGAAUAUGACAUGUAAUGGUGAAAUACAUAGAGAUGUCAUAGAACACCGAUUGCGAAGGCAGCUCACAAAACUGUAACUGACACUGAGGCUCGAAAGUGCGGGGAUCAAACAGG
RNAcentral lists this ribosomal RNA (253 nucleotides) under uncultured bacterium. RNAcentral describes it as "partial 16S ribosomal RNA". It matches the Rfam family "Bacterial small subunit ribosomal RNA", at positions 524 to 776 of the family's 1533-position model. The record is from RNAcentral.